RNAcentral lists this ribosomal RNA (58 nucleotides) under Pestalotiopsis heterocornis. RNAcentral describes it as "partial 18S ribosomal RNA". It matches the Rfam family "Eukaryotic small subunit ribosomal RNA", at positions 1774 to 1831 of the family's 1831-position model. The record is from RNAcentral. Lineage: Eukaryota; Fungi; Ascomycota; Sordariomycetes; Amphisphaeriales; Sporocadaceae.
UUUUUGAAAUAAAAAUCGUAACAAGGUCUCCGUUGGUGAACCAGCGGAGGGAUCAUUA